Molecule: ribosomal RNA, 253 nt
Filed under: uncultured bacterium
Lineage: Bacteria
Description: partial 16S ribosomal RNA
Rfam family: Bacterial small subunit ribosomal RNA
Source: RNAcentral
UACGGAGGGUGCAAGCGUUAUCCAGAUUCACUGGGUUUAAAGGGUGCGUAGGCGGGCAGGUAAGUCCGUGGUGAAAGCUCCGGGCUCAACUCGGAAAUUGCUUUGCAUACUGGCAGGCUGGAGGGACGCAGAGGUCUGUGGAAUUCCUGGUGUAACGGUGAAAUGUGUUGAUAUCAGGAGGAACACCCAUGGCGAAGGCAGCAGACUGGGCGUUUCCUGACGCUGAGGAGCGAAAGCGUGGGGAGCAAACAGG